GAAUCGUAUCAGCCGAAUUUCUUUUUUGAAAACGGGGGAACCAAACCGCUGUCCGGAGCAAUCCGCCAGCAUGGGGUGAAUUUCGAGCAUUCCGCUUGAAUAGGGCUGCCUUUCCAGGCCCGAAUCCGUCAGCUAACCUCGCAGGCUGUGUGGAACAGGACU
This 162-nucleotide small RNA is filed under the name Paenibacillus sp. RNAcentral's name for it is "c-di-AMP sequence". It matches the Rfam family "c-di-AMP riboswitch aptamer (ydaO/yuaA leader)". From Rfam's summary of the family: This family represents a conserved RNA structure found upstream of the ydaO and yuaA genes in Bacillus subtilis and related genes in other bacteria. The ydaO/yuaA element is thought to act as a genetic "off" switch for the ydaO and yuaA genes in its native state. The record is from RNAcentral. Lineage: Bacteria; Bacillati; Bacillota; Bacilli; Caryophanales; Paenibacillaceae.